GUUUGAUAGUCUUUUAUUCUUAGUCCAAACCAACGUGCUUUGGGGAAGUCGGUGAAAGACCGACGCUGCCCCGCAGCUGUGACCGUGAACGAAAUCCGCUAAUAGCCACUGGAAGAAAUUCUUUCGGGAAGGCGCGGAGACUAGGUCGAAACGGAAGCCAGAAUACCCAAGCAUGAAGGUCACCGAAG
Molecule: non-coding RNA, 188 nt
Filed under: Desulfomonile tiedjei
Lineage: Bacteria; Pseudomonadati; Thermodesulfobacteriota; Desulfomonilia; Desulfomonilales; Desulfomonilaceae
Also listed under: 1 other name
Source: RNAcentral